This 194-nucleotide ribosomal RNA is filed under the name uncultured bacterium. RNAcentral's name for it is "partial 16S ribosomal RNA". It matches the Rfam family "Bacterial small subunit ribosomal RNA", at positions 338 to 524 of the family's 1533-position model. The record is from RNAcentral.
CCUACGGGAGGCAGCAGUGGGGAAUUUUGAACAAUGGGCGCAAGCCUGAUCCAGCAAUGCCGCGUGCAGGAUGAAGGCCUUCGGGUCGUAAACUGCUUUUGUACGAAACGAAAAGCCUGGGGCUAAUAUCCCCGGGUCAUGACGGUACCGUAAGAAUAAGCACCGGCUAACUACGUGCCAGCAGCCGCGGUAAU